GUAAGAUGGCCGAAUUAAGCGGUGGGUUGUAGCCCCAUGAAUAGAGGUUCAAGUCCUCUUCUUAUCAA
Molecule: transfer RNA, 68 nt
Filed under: Atherina boyeri (big-scale sand smelt)
Lineage: Eukaryota; Metazoa; Chordata; Actinopteri; Atheriniformes; Atherinidae
Description: tRNA-Tyr
Rfam family: tRNA
About the family: Transfer RNA (tRNA) molecules are approximately 80 nucleotides in length.
Source: RNAcentral